GCCCCUGUAGCUCAGUUGGAAGAGCGCGACGGUCCUAACGUUGAGGUCGCUGGUUCGAACCCGGUCAGGGGUACCA
Molecule: transfer RNA, 76 nt
Filed under: Candidatus Omnitrophota bacterium
Lineage: Bacteria; Pseudomonadati; Candidatus Omnitrophota
Also listed under: 2 other names
Description: tRNA-Arg
Rfam family: tRNA
About the family: Transfer RNA (tRNA) molecules are approximately 80 nucleotides in length. Their secondary structure includes four short double-helical elements and three loops (D, anti-codon, and T loops).
Source: RNAcentral